This 458-nucleotide ribosomal RNA is filed under the name Streptococcus sp. oral taxon C65. RNAcentral's name for it is "bacterial SSU rRNA". It matches the Rfam family "Bacterial small subunit ribosomal RNA", at positions 28 to 470 of the family's 1533-position model. Lineage: Bacteria; Bacillati; Bacillota; Bacilli; Lactobacillales; Streptococcaceae. The record is from RNAcentral.
GACGAACGCGGGCGGCGUGCCUAAUACAUGCAAGUAGAACGCUGAAGAGAGGAGCUUGCUCUUCUUGGAUGAGUUGCGAACGGGUGAGUAACGCGUAGGUAACCUGCCUUGUAGCGGGGGAUAACUAUUGGAAACGAUAGCUAAUACCGCAUAACAAUGGAUGACACAUGUCAUUUAUUUGAAAGGGGCAAUUGCUCCACUACAAGAUGGACCUGCGUUGUAUUAGCUAGUAGGUGAGGUAACGGCUCACCUAGGCGACGAUACAUAGCCGACCUGAGAGGGUGAUCGGCCACACUGGGACUGAGACACGGCCCAGACUCCUACGGGAGGCAGCAGUAGGGAAUCUUCGGCAAUGGGGGCAACCCUGACCGAGCAACGCCGCGUGAGUGAAGAAGGUUUUCGGAUCGUAAAGCUCUGUUGUAAGUCAAGAACGAGUGUGAGAGUGGAAAGUUCACACU